Molecule: ribosomal RNA, 262 nt
Filed under: uncultured Lactobacillales bacterium
Lineage: Bacteria; Bacillati; Bacillota; Bacilli; Lactobacillales
Description: partial 16S ribosomal RNA
Source: RNAcentral
CACGUAGUUAGCCGUCCCUUUCUGGUAAGCUACCGUCACGAGUGUGAACUUUCCACUCUCACACCCGUUCUUGACUUACAACAGAGCUUUACGAUCCGAAAACCUUCUUCACUCACGCGGCGUUGCUCGGUCAGGGUUCGCCCCCAUUGCCGAAGAUUCCCUACUGCUGCCUCCCGUAGGAGUCUGGGCCGUGUCUCUACGUCCCAGGUGUCGGCCGAUCCACCCUCUCGACGGUCGGCUAUGUAUCGUCGCCGUAGGUGAC